UAUCCUCCUUUAAAUCUUAUGCUGUCUGUC
Molecule: non-coding RNA, 30 nt
Filed under: Mus musculus (house mouse)
Lineage: Eukaryota; Metazoa; Chordata; Mammalia; Rodentia; Muridae
Source: RNAcentral